Molecule: ribosomal RNA, 252 nt
Filed under: uncultured bacterium
Lineage: Bacteria
Description: partial 16S ribosomal RNA
Rfam family: Bacterial small subunit ribosomal RNA
Source: RNAcentral
UACGGAGGAUGCGAGCGUUAUCCGGAUUUAUUGGGUUUAAAGGGUGCGCAGGCGGCGUGUCAAGUCAGCGGUAAAAUGUCGGGGAUCAACCCCGGCCGGCCGUUGAAACUGGCGUGCUCGAGUUGGAGAGAAGUAUGCGGAAUUCGUGGUGUAGCGGUGAAAUGCAUAGAUAUCACGAAGAACCCCGAUUGCGAAGGCAGCAUACCGGCUCCACACUGACGCUGAGGCACGAAAGCGUGGGUAUCGAACAGG